Molecule: long non-coding RNA, 1096 nt
Organism: Octopus sinensis (East Asian common octopus)
Lineage: Eukaryota; Metazoa; Mollusca; Cephalopoda; Octopoda; Octopodidae
Exons: 3
Source: RefSeq, a predicted model, not a curated record
CAACCGAUGCUGGCAGCCGAUGCAUUGCCCGGAUGCAUAUGUAACCGGAGUCCAAAGCGUGUCUUGUGUCCUGUGUGUGGUUACAACAUUCAAGGCCGAGUGAGGCAGACCUGUGCCUGGCAUCCAAAUGUUGUCCACUUGAUGGACUUGGGAGCAUGUCCGAACUGUAAAGCCAAUUGUCUGCGUGAAAUAGAACCACAUCGUAAAAACAGGAAUACAGCCUCACAGCAACAGUAGUUGCAUUUCAGCCAUCCAUCCAUCCAUCCAUCCAGAUAGAAUGGUGAUGGUCACAGAAAAAAAAUUUAUUGAACUGUUUUGAAAUAUCAAUAUUUCUUGUUUCUUCUGUUCUUGCAUUGUCACUUUACUCACUUCCUCUUACUCUCUUACUUACUCUCUCACCCCCAUCUCUCUUCUUACUCGUACUCCCUUUACUCUCUCUCUCACUACCUCUGUAUCUCUCCUGGUUACUGUCUCAAAAUCUCCCAUGCUUUUCUCUUUCUCUUCGCCUCUUACUUCAACUGCAGUUGAAAUGAAAAAGAAACCAACGGACCAACCAACCCACAACUGAUGGUGCUAUAGAGGAAAGUGGUGGAGAGUCUUUUAUUGUUACUAAUGAAUUGAGCCUGUGAUGUAAUGAGGCAUCGAGGUGGAGGAAGGAUGUGGAGGAGGAGGAGAAAGAAGAGGAGAAACAGCUACAUUAAGACAUCAGAUAGGUGACUUGAUUGUAAAAAUGACACAGCUUAACCCAUUUGAGACCAUAUUUUUCUGACAAGAAUAUAUACUGCCAUUGUUUAAAUCAUCAAAAUAUUUAAGUUUUAUGGAAGAUUUUAGUGCAAUAACUCUUAACUUGAUAAGACAAAUGGCUAAUAAAGUUUAAAUUCAUCUUUUGUGUAAGAAAUUUCAGUCCAAAAUUCUAGGUUAAUUAAACAUAGGUUGGGUUUUUUUUUUUUCAAUGGGUUAAUUGUUGGAAUGUGAUACCUUCUUUCUUUCUCUCUCUCUCUCUCUCUCCUGCUUUCUUCCUUCCUCUUUCUCGCUGUCUUUCUUUCUUUGUGAUGUGUUUUUGGUAUUGGGUUGUGUUUGUGAAGGAAUAAAAAUG